This 253-nucleotide ribosomal RNA is filed under the name uncultured bacterium. Its description in RNAcentral is "partial 16S ribosomal RNA". It matches the Rfam family "Bacterial small subunit ribosomal RNA", at positions 524 to 776 of the family's 1533-position model. The record is from RNAcentral.
UACAGAGGUCCCAAGCGUUGUUCGGAUUCACUGGGCGUAAAGGGUGCGUAGGCGGUCGGGUAAGUCUGGCGUGAAAUCUCCAAGCCUAACUUGGAAACUGCGUUGGAUACUAUCCGGCUCGAGGAAUGGAGGGGAGACUGGAAUACUUGGUGUAGCAGUGAAAUGCGUAGAUAUCUGGAGGAAUACCGGUGGCGAAGGCGGCAUCCUGGACCGACAUUGACGCUGAACGGCGAAAGCUAGGGGAGCAAACGGG